RNAcentral lists this ribosomal RNA (113 nucleotides) under Aotus nancymaae (Ma's night monkey). Lineage: Eukaryota; Metazoa; Chordata; Mammalia; Primates; Aotidae. The record is from RNAcentral.
GUCUAUGGCCAUACCACUCUGAAUGAGCCCAAUCUUAUCUGAUCUCAGAAGCUAAGCAGGGUUAGGCCUGGGGGUCUGCUUAGUAUUUGGAUGAGAGAAAUGUAAUAUAUACA